This 41193-nucleotide long non-coding RNA is filed under the name Sorghum bicolor (sorghum). RNAcentral's name for it is "long non-coding RNA (SBIC_LNC004869)". The record is from RNAcentral. Lineage: Eukaryota; Viridiplantae; Streptophyta; Magnoliopsida; Poales; Poaceae.
CCACACAUGCACAUCUUAAUUUGACUUAUUGACUUGUUCUUCUAGAUCCAUGGUUUGAAUAUGCAAUAAAUGUCUUGUAAGUAUGUAUUAGCUGUCUCCCACCUAUGAGAUCCAGAUAUCAAAACCUUAUUAGAGUAGGGUGAGAGAGAAGGCAAUGCCAUUAUGCCUCAUACCAAAAAUACUACAUACUUUGAGAGAAGGCAUAUACCAUUACUGCCUUGGAAAGGAUCCAGAAAUACCACAAAAGAGAGAAUUAAGAGAGUCAUACAAGGAAUCUCUGAGUUUUAUUUUUAAAAUCAGCAAAAACUCCAGAGCAGUUGAUAAAGAAUAAGAGACAUUGCGCUUGACUAGACUGUUCUAUCUUUUAACUGCUCAAGACAUAGUGACGGUUGCAAGCCCCAUGUUGGAAGGUAAAAUGAGUAAGUUUAAAUCUUAACAGUUUACCUUAACCCAGAGAUGAGAUCUUGUUUGAACGCAUGUGUAUCUUUAAGGUAUGAAACCACUACAAAAACUCUUGAGUUCAUCUUUGCUCAGGGACGAGCAAAGGUUAAGCUUGGUGGAGCUUGUUGAUGGUCCUUAAUGCUCACAUUUAAACGUCAACUAAUCAAAGAAAAGGAUCCAAAUGCAACCAACACCUAGACUUAGGGUUUUAUUUGACAGAAUUCCACGAGUUUUGGUGUUUGUCUAUUUCUGCAGGGGGUUAUCAGGAAAUACGGAGGAAAGGCCCACACGUCGGGUUUACAUAGAGAUAUUAAUGUGCCGUGCAAUUUUCUAUCAUCUAGAAGACUCCGGAAGCCACGGGAACGAACGGGAAGCCGAGAGGGCUCAGGGAUAGGGUGCCCGCCCUAAGGACCAGGGCGCCCUCCCACCUUCAGUGUCCAAUUCGGACCCGUUUCGCAGAUUACGCUCCACCGACAUAAUGGAUCAAGGAUAACCAUUCAAUCAAUGUCGGUUUGAUCCGACGGCCCAGAUUCAUCUGAAAAGACUAUAUAAACAAGGUCCCCUGGCCCCUGGAGAUCAUACCUCUUUUGCAGAAUCAAAGGUAGGGUUUUAAUUCUUCAUCCAAGUAGAGAGGAUCCCUCUAGUUCAUCUAGUUCUUGUUCUAGUUCCUCUAGUUCUAGUUCUAGUUAGUUAUAGUUGUAAUCUAGAAAAUAGGGAGAGAGAAGAGGAGAGCGGAGGACGAGCCGGAUCUGUCAGAUCUUCCUGAACAUUAUACUUUUGCUGCAAUUGGUUCGUUCUUCAUCGUUCUCCAAGUUCUUCAAUUUAUAAUUCCUGAGCUCUUUAAUUAAUUUUUUUUACAUUCAAGUUAUUUAUUAGGUUCCCGCUUGCAUCAAGUGCUCUAGUCUUUAUAACGCUAGAGUAGUAAUUAAUAGAUUAGACGUGGUGUUUAGUCUUGCAAUUACGUGGAAUUGCACCCAAUCCUGCGGAUUGUUGUGGUAGCCCUAGGGUAGUGACAGCCCUAACGGUCGACGUAUUCCACCUCGUUUGGAUCGGUGUUUGUAGGACCGUAGUCAGAGCUUCCUAGCCCCCUUCUCAUCUCUUUCUGUGGUUAGUGUUCUGAUGUCCCAAAAUAAAUAAUCUUUGAAGUAAUUCUUGAUUCUUAGAUCAACUAGAGAACUCUCAGGAAACUUUCUCUAUUCCCACCAAAAAUAAUUAUAUAGUUAUCCUUGGGCGAUCUUGAAUCUUAAUUAGUACACUCACGUUUCGUGUGGAAAAUCGAUACUUUGGAAUACUCCCGGGUGAAAGCUACAUCAGUAUCCGUGCGCUUGCGGAUUUUUCUGUUUGCGUUUAAAAUACCCAACAACGGUGCAUUGGGCACAAACCAUGCAAUAUCUUGCAUCGAAACUAACACUGUCUCCAAAUGGACCGAUGCGAGAUUCCAUAUGACACUCGUCUUCUAGGAGUUCCAUGAGGUGCGUCCAAAUUGAUUUUCGAGCAUAUGGUACGCUCCAUGCAGACCGUGCAACUAUCUUGCAUCAAGAUUUGCACUAUCUCCAAACAAACUGAACCGAGCUUCCACUUGAGCCUCUUCAGCUAGGAGUACCAUCGGGUGCGUCCAAAAUGGUUUCUCAGAGUAUGGUGCAUUAGGCACAAACCGUACACCUAUCUUGCACCAAAAAUAACACUAUCUCCAAACAGACCAAAGCGAGAUAUCAGAUGACACACAUUAUCUAGUAGUUCUAUCAGGUGCGUCCAAAUUGAUUUACAAGCAUAUAGUAUAUUCCAUGCAAACCGUGUAGCUAUCUUACAUGAAGAUAAGCACUAUCUCCAAACAGAUCGUACCGAGCUUUCACUUGAGCCUCUUCACCUUAGAGUAUAAUCGGGUGCUUCCACAACGGUUUCUGAGCCUAUGGUGCAUUAGGCGCAAACCAUGCACCUAUCUUGCACUGAAACUAACACUAUCUCCAAAUGGACCGAAGUGAAAUUCCAUGUGACACACGUUAUCUAGGAGUUCUAUUAGGUGCGUCCAAAUUGAUCUUUGAGGAUAUGUUACAUUCCAUGCAAACCGUGCACCUAUAUUGCAUCAAAAUUACCACUAUCUCCAAACAGACCAAACCGAGCUUUCACUAGAGCCCCACCUAUUAGUACCAUCGGUGCGUCCAGAAUAAUUUCUUAGCCUAUGGUGCAUUAGGUGCAAACCGUGCACCUAUCUUUCACCGAAUCUAACACUAUCUCUAAACAGACCGAAGCGAGAUUCCAUAUGACACACAUCAUCUAGGAGUUCCAUCGGAUUUGUCCAAAUUGAUUUCUGAGCAUAUGGUAUGUCCCAUGCAAACUGUGCACUUAUCUUGCAUCAAGAUUAGCACUAUCUCCAAACAGACCGAACUGAGCUUCCACUUGAGCCUCUUCACCUAGGAGUACCAACAGGUGCGUCCAAAAUGGUUUCUUAGACUAUGGUGCAUUAGGCGCAAACUGUGCACCUAUCUUGCACCGAAACUAACACUAUCUCCAAAUGGAUCAAAGCGAGAUUCCAUAUGACACUCAUCAUAUAGGAGUUCCAUCAGGUGCAUCCAAAUUACUUUCCGAGCAUAUAGUACAUUCCAUGAGAACCGUGCAUCUAUCUUGCAUCAAGAUUAGCACUAUCUCCAAUCUAACCGAACUGAGCUUCCACUUGAGCCCUUCACCUAGGAGUACCAACAGGUGCGUCCAAAAUGGUUUCUUGGACUAUGGUGCAUUAGGCGCAAACUGUGCACCUAUCUUGCACUGAAACUAACACUAUCUCCAAAUGGAUCAAAGCGAGAUUCCAUAUGACACUCAUCAUAUAGGAGUUCCAUCAGGUGAGUCCAAAUUAAUUUCUGAGCAUAUAGAACAUUCCAUGAGAACCGUGCAUCUAUCUUGCAUCAAGAUUAGCACUAUCUCCAAACUAACCGAACUGAGCUUCCACUUGAGCCUCUUCACCUAGGAGUACCAACAGUUGCGUCCAAAAUGGUCUCUUAAACUAUGGUGCAUUAGGUGCAAACUGUGCACCUAUCUGGCACUGAAACAAACACUGUCUCCAAACAGACCGAAGCAAGAUUCCAUAUGACACUCGUCAUCUAGGAGUUCCAUCAGGUGCAUCCAAAAUGAUUUUUGAGCAUAUGGUACGUUCCAUGCAAACUGUGCACCUAUUUUUCAUCAACAUUAGCACUAUCUCCAAAUAGACCGAUCAAAGCUUCCACUUUAGCCUCUUCACCUAGGAGUACCAACAGGUGAGUCCAAAAUAGCCUCUUAGACUAUGGUGCAUUCGGUAAAAACUGUGCACCUAUCUUGCACCGAAAUGAACACUGUUUCCAAACUGACAGAAACGAGAUUCCAUAUGACACUCGUUAUCUAUGAGUUCCAUCGGGUGCGUCCAAAUUGAUUUUUGAGCAUAUGGUACGUUUCACGCAAACUGUGCACCUAUCUUGCAUCAAGAUUAGCACUAUCUCCAAAUAGACCAAACCAAGCUUUCGCUUGAGCCUCUUCACCUAGGAGUACGAUCGGGUGUGUCCAAAAUGGCUUCUUAGCCUAUGGUGCAUUACGCGCAAACCAUGCACCUAUCUUGCUCCAAAACUAACACUUUCUCCAAAUGGACCAAAGCAAGAUUACAUAUGACACACAUCAUCUAGGAGUUCCAUCGGGUGUGUCCAAAUUGGUUUGUAGGCAUAUGGUAUAUUCCAUGAAAACCGUGCAGCUAUCUUACAUGAAGAUUAGCACUAUCUCCAAACAAAUCGUACCGAGCUUUCACUUGAGCUUCUUCACCUAGUUGUAUCAUUGGGUGCUUCCACAAUGGUUUCUGAGCCUAUGGUGCAUUAGGCGCAAACUAUGCACCAUUCUUGCUCCGAAACUAACACUAUCUCCAAAUGGACGAAGUGAGAGUUCUAUCGGGUGCAUCAAAAUUGAUUUCCAAGGAUAUGGUACAUUCCAUGCAUACCAUGCACCUAUCUUGCAUCAAGAUUAGCACUAUCUUCAAACAAACCAAACCGAGCUUUCACUUGAGCCCCUUCACCUAGGAGUACAAUCGGGUGCGUCCAAAAUCGUUUCUUAGAGUAUGGUGUGUCCAAAAUCUUUUCUUGCACUGAAAGUAACACUAUCUCCAAAAAGACCAAAGUGAAAUAUCAGAUGACACACAUCAUAUAGGAGUUCUAUUAUGUGCGUCCAAAUUGAUUUUCAAACAUAUGCACCUAUCUUGCAUAAGGAUUAGCACUACCUCCAAACAGACGGAACCGAGAUUCCACUUGAGCCUCUUCCUCUAGGAGUACAAAGAGGUGCAUCCAAAAUGGUUUCUUAGACUUUGGUGCAUUAGGCAUAAGAUGUGCACCUAUCUUGCAUCGAAACUAACAUUGUCUCCAAAUGGACUGAAGCAAGAUUCCACAUGACACGUCAUCUUGGAGUUCCAUCGGGUGCGUCCAAAUUGAUUUCUGUGCAUAUGGUACGUUCCAUGCAAACUAUGCAACUAUCUUGCAUCAAGAUUAGCACUAUCUCUGAAUAGACCAAAUCGAGCUUCCACUUGAGCCUCUUCAACUAGGAGUACCAUCAGGUGUGUCUAAAAUGGUUUCUUAGCCUAUGGUGCAUUAGGCGCAAACCAUGCACAUAUCAUCCACCAAAACUAACACUAUCUCUAAACGGACCGAAGCGAGAUUCCAUAUGACACACGUCAUCUAGGAGUUCGAUCUGGUGUGUCCAAAUUGAUUUCUGAGCAUAUCGUACGUUCAAUGCAAAUCAUGCACCUAUCUUGCAUCAAGAUUAGCACUAUCUCUGAAUAGACCAAAUCGAGCUUUCACUUGAGCAUCUUUACCUAGGAAUACCAUCGGGUGCGUCCAAAAUGGUUUCUUAUCCUAUGGUGCAUUAGGCGCAAACCGUGCACCUAUCUUGCACCGAAACUAACAGUGUCUCCAAACGCACCGAAGCGAGAUUCCAUAUAACACACGUCAUCUUGGAGUUCGAUCUGGUGUGUCCAAAUUGAUUUCCGAGCAUAUGGUACGUUCCAUCCAAAUCGUGCACCUAUCUUGCAUCAAGAUUAGCACUAUCUCCGAACAGACCGAACCGAGCUUCCACUUGAGCCUCUUCACCUAGGAGUACCAACAGGUGCUUCCAAAAUGGUUUCUUAGACUACGGUGCAUUAGGCGCAAAGCGUGCAAAUAUCUUGCACCAAAAAUAAUGUUGUCUCUAAACAAACCAAAGCAAGAUUCCAUAUGACACAUAUCAUCAAGGAGUUCUAUCAGGUGCGUCCAAAUUAAUUUCUGAGCAUAUGGUACGUUCGAUGCAAAAUGUGCAACUAUCUUGCAUCAAGAUUAGCACUAUCGCCAAACAGACCAAAUCGAGCUUUCACUUGAGCCUCUUCACCUAGGAGUACCAUCCGGUGCUUCCAUAAUGGUUUCUGAGCCUAUGGAGCAUUAGGUGCUCUUACCGUGCACCUAUCUUGCACCAAAACUAACACUAUCUCCAAAUGGACCGAAGUGAGAUUCCAUAUGACACACGUCAUCUAGGAGUUCCAUCGGGUGCGUCCAAAUUGAUUUCUGAGCAUAUGUUAUGUUCCAUGCAUAUCGUGCACCUCUCUUGCCUCAAGAUUAGUACUAUCUCUAAACAGACCAAACCAAGCUUCCACUUGAGCCCUUCACCUAGGAGUACCAUUAGGUGCGUCCAAAAUGGUUUCUUAGCCUAUGGUGCAUUAGGCGCAAACCGUGCACCUAUCUUCACUGAAACUAACACUAUCUCCAAAUAGACCGAAGCAAGAUUGCAAAUGACACACGUCAUCUACGAGUUUCAUCGGGUGUGUCCAAAUUGAUUUCUGAGCAUAUGGUAUGUUCCAUGCAAACCAUGCAACUAUCUUGCACCAAGUUUAGCACUAUCUCCAAAUAGUCCCAACCAAGCUUCCACUUGAGCCCCUUCACCUAGGAGUACCAUCGGGUACAUCCAAAAUGGUUUCUUAAACUAUGGUGCAUUAGGCCCAAACCAUAAACCUUUCUUGCACCAAAACUAACACUAUCUCCAAACAGACCAAAGCAAGAUUCCAUAUGACACACAUCAUCUAGGAGUUCUAUUAGGUGUGUCCAAAUUGAUUUACAAGCAUAUGGUAUGUUCCACACAAACCGUACACCUAUCUUGCAUCAUAUUAGCACUAUCUCCUAACAGAUCUUUUUAUUUGAGCCUCUUCACCUAGGAGUGCCAUCGGAUGUGUCCAAAUGGGUUUCUUAGCCUAUAGUGCAUUAUGCGCAAACCAUGCACCUAUCUGCACCAAAACUAACACUAUCUCCAAAUGGACCGAAAUAAGAUUCCAUAUGACACACAUCAUCAAGGAGUUCUAUCGGAUGUGUCCAAAUUGAUUUCUGAGCAUAUGGUACGUUCCAUGCAUACCGUGCACCUAUCUUGCACUAUCUCCAAAAGGACCAAACUAAGCUUCCCACGUGAGCCUCUUCACCUAGGAGUAGCCUCGGGUGCGUCCAAAAUAGUUUUGAGCAUAUGGUUCAUUCGGCACAAGCCAUGCACCUAUGUUACACCAAAACUAAGAUUGUUUCUAAUUAUACCAAAGUGAGACUCCAUAUGACACAUGUUGGGCAUUCUUAACGUCACUACCAAAAGUAGACUUAGUUUUCUAAUGCCAAACCUAUCCCUCAUGCCACUUAAGCCAAGUUGUCAUCCCCAGCAUGACAUGAGAGAUGCGGUAUUGAAAUAUGCAAUUGCUCUUCUAAAUAAAAAAAUAAAUGAGAUCUGCAAGCGCACAGAUUAAUACCGAUGUAGCAUUUUAACCGGAAAGUAUUCCAGGUAUCGUUAUUUAUAUUUUUACCAAUGGGAAGGGAUUGCUAAACAUCAAUGUUGAUUAUGGAAUGCUGUAUAGAAUUGAGUAUCUAACAUUGCAUGUAUAAUUGAGAGCAUUUAUCUAUCUCUUUCAUACAAGGAUAAAUGUCACAUAAAAGAUAGAUAAAGUAUGAAUAGUGACAAAGAUAAUUAAUCUGAUCAGCAUAUAAAUAUGAUAAACACCUCAACAGAUAUUCUAGCAAGUCAUUAGCAUGAAAUUAGGAUGAACUACAAGAAUAUUUCCUAAGUUAUUCUCAAUUAUACAGUCUACCAUAUCAUAGUUAGUGCAAUUAUACUUGGCAAUCAUUGCGAGACAGGACUACGCCCAUGCAUAGUGAUAUUAUCAAGGAAUAUGAGAAACAUAGCAAUCACUCCCCUGUAAUAAUGUUGCUCUGCCAGCCCUAUACACGAGAGGGGGACUAUAUAACAAUCAAUGGAACUGUCACUACCACGAACUACCCCGUGAUCUGGCAUAUAGGGUACAAUCGCAGAUAAAUACGGUAUAGGCACCACGCCUACACAAUACUUAUCAUUUACCACUGUACACAUGGAUAAACGCUAUACAAUCCUAAACAUGUAUAUAAAUCCAAUCUAACUAAGCCAAGUAUAUAAAUAUGAUAGACUAAGAACAAUAUAAUUGCAAAUAUAAACAAGUAGAGCAAAGCCAUAAUCAAUAUAUUGAAGUAGAACAAAGUCAUAUUCAUAAUAUUGAAGAACAAAGAUGAACAAUUGAAGAACAAUAGAGGAAUUACCAAGAAUACUCUUGACAGAUCCGGAAACCAAUCGAAGAUUGACUCCUUCUGGUUCUAAUCCUAUGUAGCUAUGCUAAACUAGAGAUCUAAUUGAUGUGGUGGCUCUAGGGCUUGAUCAGAGGCUUCUUCUCCCCAGAUAGAUAAUGAAUUAGGGUUUCUGAGGGAUAGAGGUGCUCUCCUCUAGGGGCGAGGGGGUCUGCUUAUAUAGUCCUUCCAAGUGAAUGUGGGCCAUCGGAUCAAACCGACAUUAAUCGCACGAUUUUCAUUGAUCCCUUAGGUCGGUGGAGCAUGAUCCACGAGGUUGGUUGUGAUUGGCCCUCAGGCCAGGGCGGGCGCCCAAGGGGGGAGGGCAGGCGCCCUGCCCCCAGGCCCUUCCAUUCUCCCAUUUGUUCCCGUGGCUUUUGGACUCUUCUAGAUGUUAGAUAAUUGCGUGGCACGUUAAUAUCUCUUUGUAAACCCGACGUGUGGGCCUUUCUUCCAUAUUUUCUGAUAACCCCCUACAGAAAUAGAUAAACACUAAAACUCGUGGAAUUCUGUCAGAUAAAACCCUAAGUCUGGGUGUCGGUUGCAUUUGGAUCAUUUUCUUUGUUUAUUUGAUAAUUAAAUUUGAUACUUAAGGACCGUCAACAAACUCCCCCAAGCUUACCUCUUGCUCGUCCUAGAGCAAGGAUAAUCUCAGUGAUGGAUCAGAAGUUGCUGUAAUGCCUUUGAGUUUUGACGAUACACAUGCUUUCAAAUAUGGUGUCAUCUCUGAGACAGAGUAAACCGUCAAGACUUAAAACUUACUUAUUUUACCUUUCACCAUGGGACUUGUAACCGUCACUUCUGUCUUGAGCAGUUAAAAGAUAGAACGGUCUAGUCAAGUGCCAUGUCUCUUAUUCUUGAUCAGCUAUAGCUCUGGAGUUUUUGCAGAUUUUCAAAUAAAACUCUGAGAUUCCUUGUAUGACUCUCUUAGAUCUCUCUUUUGUGGUAUUUCUGGAUCCUUUCCAAGGCAAUAACGGUAUAUUCCUUCUCUCAAAGUAUGUGGUAUUUUUGGUAUGAGGCAUAGUGAUAUUGCCUUCUCUCUUACCCUACUCUAAUAAGGUUUUGAUAUCUGGGGCUCAUAGGUGGGAGAUAAAGUAUACAUACUUACAAGACAUUUAUUGCAUAGUCAACCCAUGGAUCCAGAGAAACAAAUCAAUAAGUCAAAUCAAGAUGUGCAUGUGUGGUGAAUGAAUGGUGUAUGGUUAUGAUGGUGAUAACAAUGGUGAAAGUCUAAUUCUACUUUUCCUCUGUGGGGGUAUAAACCCCUAUACCCUUACGGCUAGACUUGGGCCAGGAAGCUUGGCCCAUUAUGAGACAAGCUCAAGGUUUGAUCCGACAGCUCAGAGUUUCGUGCAAGGAAACAAGACGUGGAGAUCAAACAGGAUUCUAGUCGGUUAGAAUAGGAAUUGAUAUCAAACUAUCUAUGGCAAUUGUAACCGACUAGGAUUAGUUUCCAGAUCUGUAACCCUACCCUCCGGACUAUAUAAGGAGAGGCAAGGGACCCCCCUAGGACAUCAUAUUCUCUCAACACAAAUCAAUACAACCAGACGCAGGACGUAGGUAUUAUGCCAACUCGGCGGCCGAAACUGGAUAAAAAGCUUGUCCGUGUCUUGCGUCACCAUCGAGUUCUUAGUUUGCGCACCGUCUACCGAUAAACUACUACCGUGGGUAUACCCCAAGGUAGACUGCCGACCAGCUUUCGUCGAUAGUGGCGCACCAGGUAGGGGGUGUGCGUGCAACUUCUCCGGCGAACGAGAUGGUUACAAUCCCAGCUUCCGCGACCGUGCCCGAAGGCCUCACGCUCACCGUCGGCCAGAUCACGUGGACUACGCGCAGCGGUGGCCUCACGACCACGGUUUCGGAAGAAACUCAGAUCCAAUCUGAGAUCACGUCGUCUCUGACCACUCGGGUGACGGCACCGAGCGCCCGACCACCGUUCCCGCUCUACAAGGGAAAGAAGAUCAACUGCUCGGACCUUCUCCAAGCGCUUGAUCGCACCGAUUCCAAGCUACUCGAAGCCUCCCAACUAGUAGAUGGAAUCCUGCACCAGCCUGAUCAAGCCGCCCCAACGGAUUUUUUCAAAUCUCGCCGGCCAACUCGUGUCGUUACACACGAACGGCUAGGAACGUCUCUGACGAUAACCUCAACUCCCUCAGGGCGAUCCGUCAAGCUCAAGGCUAACCCGGAGGAAGAUUAUCUUUGCGGCCUGAACAACUCGGCCUCUCUCUACUCACGGCACAUCCAAUCCGUUUUCACCAAGGCGGGUUGGCCGCCAAAAAGGAACUGUCAAUCUGCUCGUCACUACGUCAACAUGGUGACGAUCCGCGAAUUACGGGAUGGCCAGGCUUCCAGCACCAAUUCGAGCACCGGUUCCGUCCCCACCGAAGUUAUAAACUCCGAAGACGAGGACUACGACCUGGAUUUGCUUUCACAUCCUCCGGGUUUCUCUCGUUUCCCGGUAUUCCCCCCCCCGGCGAGGAGACAUUGUUUUUAACGUCAGCGCCGACGAGCCGGUCGUUGAUGGAGGAACAGACGAGCAAAGGCAGCUCCGCGAGCAGCGUAACGCCGAUCGCGCCCGACGACACACGGAUGAGGAACGACAAAUUCCACCACAUAAUCUCAGCGACGCCUUUGAUAUGGUCGGGGACCAACCAGUCUACAAGACGCCAAGCGCCAACGUGGCUGUCGCCAUGGCUAACCUAGAUCGGCUCCCCGAUACUCUUGAGUGCCAUGGAGUCCGAACCAGCGUCCGAGCGCACCUGAUCGCCGUUAUGGGACAGACAGCCACUCUGCUCAAAAGAGUCCAGGCCGUCUCUUAUACGGAAGCCACCUCCGACCAGACUAAUCGUAGCCGGACCUCACCGCCUCCCAGCAGGCAUCACCGUAGCCGUUCCCCCGACAACCAUCGAAAGGAUUCACGACGUGACGAUGGUGGUCGGGAUGCUGACGGUCACCGCGAGCAGAACCGCAGGCGCGGUCAAGAAGUAAACCAGCACAGGGAUCUUCGAUAUAACAUCCCUCCCAAAGAUGCCCGGGACCGCAUCAACAGACGCGCCACGGAGCGAGCAGUCCACGAAAACCUGCGCUGUAUCGAGUACGAUGCAACGCACGGGCCCCCGGGCCUAAGACAGUUCUCCUCACACCUCCGCCAGGUCGUGUGGCCCCACAAUUUCAAGCUCGAGAAACUCAAAAAAUACGACGGCAAGGAAAAUCCAGAGAACUGGAUCACUCUCUAUGAAAUCGCCGUCCGAUCAGCAGUGGGGGAUGAGCACGUCAUGGCCAACUACUUCCCAGUAGUCCUCGACCAGGCUUGUCAUCAGUGGCUUCUUGGCUUGCCCGAGGACUCCUUCGACUCUUGGGAAGAGUUACGCCAGGCUUUUAUCAACAACUUCAUCGCCACAUGCGAGCAGCCUGGAAACAAGUAUGACCUCGAAAGGAUAAGGGACAGGAAAAACGAACCUUUACGCGAUUACAUCCGACGAUUCUCGAAUAUGCGCCUUAAGAUCCCAAAGAUUUCCCACGACGAGGCCAUCUCUACCUUCAUCAAGGGCUUACGUUUCCAUGAAGCACUGAGGAACAAACUGUUGCGCAAAAGGCCAACAACGAUGGCGGAGCUCCUCGCCACGUCUAAAAAUUACACCGAUGCCGACGAUGCAGAGAAACUAAUCCGGGACGAUGCGAGAGGUCCCGACCAGCCUCCCCGGUGAGAUGACGGUCGCGGUCGUUUCAACAACAUGAACCACCGCCGCCCCGACAACCGCGAUCAUAGAGAAGGCUGGGAUCGGCGGCGCGAUAAUCGCGACGACUUCAGAGGAAAGCGCCCCCGCGACCACGACCACGAAGUGAAUACGGCCAAGCGUCCCAACGGGCGGCGAGACUACCAAGAAGACUACAACAAAACGUUGAAGGGACCGUGCCAACUACAUCCAAAAUCUAAUCAUACCAUGGAAGGAUGACUCUGGUAAUCUACUUCUAAUUCAUUAUGCAAUUACUAAUCAUGUAUGUUCUGGUUCACAACUCUUUUGAGUACUUCUAAUCUAUAGGACCCUAUAGGUUAGAGUUGUAGUAUAGGUGUAAGCGUGGUGCUUAGACCUAGAUUACUUGUGGAUAUCCCCUGACUAGCUGGAUCGUGUGGUAGGCCGCGUAGGUGACAGUUACGUUGGUCCCCUGUAGUCCACCUCUCGUUAGCAGGACGGGUAGGGUUUAUCGGCCUAUGGAUAAGCAUCCUUUGUGGUGUACUCUUAUCACGUGGUUCGUCCCAGACAUAGACAUAUCCCUUUGAAGUAGAGAAACCAUAGUUAUCCUCUCUAUUCUGCUACCAUCGCCCAUAUACUAGAAUUGCUCUAUUCUCUAUUCCCAUAUUAUCACUUACUGUUAUCUUACCUUUAAUAUUGUUCUUAUUCGAUUCUAUCAUCUUUCCUAUUUACACCUUUCUAUCUAUCUUGGUUAAGUUAGAGCGUAGUUGGUUCUCCCGUUUCCCUGUGGAUACGAUAAAACCUUUAACCGGGUAAAAGCUUCAACGGUAUCUGUGCGCUUGCGGAUUAUCUGUGUGCGUAUAAAUACCAUAGUACACUCUAGUGCCAUGCUGGGGAUGACAACCUAGUAUUCAAGUGGUGUUAGCAAGUGUCAACAGCGGGCCUGCUAUUCAUCUCGCCCCUAGGCGUUCAUAUGAGGUAUGUCAUCAGAAUACAUUUUGCUGCAUCCAACAACGUCGCAGAGUACGAGGCCCUUGUCAAUGGGCUGAAGAUCGCCAUCGAGCUAGGAGUUUGACGGCUCGAUGUCCGAGGCGACUCCCAACUCGUCAUCGACCAAGUGAUGAACGCCUCCAACUGCCACGACCCAAAAAUGGAGGCAUACUGCAAGAAGGUACGUCGACUCGAGGAGAAAUUCCACGGCCUCGAGCUCGUCCACAUCGCCCGACGCUACAAUGAGGCAGCCGACGAACUCGCUAAGAUCGCUUCAACUCGAGGCACGGUCCCGCCCGACGCAUUCUAGAGAGAUCUGCACAAGCCAUCCGUCGACUUGGGCUCAGGGCUGACGUUGAAACCACCGCCCUCCAACAGACCGACGUCAUCGAAGCACCGCUAGCGGCAGCAGAAGUAAUGGAGGCAGAACAGCGACCCGGUCGACCGCUCGACUGGCGCACGCCGUUCCUCGAUUGCCUGAUUCGAUGCGAGCUACCAGAAGAUCGAUCUGAGGCCCGCCGUAUCACUCGACGGGCCAAAUCAUACGCGAUCUACGACGAAAAUAAUGAACUAUAUCGACGAAGCCCGACAGGAAUCUUGCAGCGAUGCAUCACCAUAGAGGAAGGCCGAAAGCUCCUCGAGGAUCUACACUCGGGGGCUUGCGGCCACCACGCUGCUCCGCGGACCCUCGUGGGGAACGCAUUCCGAUAAGGUUUCUACUGGACAACGGCCGUAGCCGACGCCAUCGAGCUCGUACGCUCAUGCCAUGGGUGUCAAUUUUAUGCCAAGCAGACGCAUCUCCCCGCUCAUGCCCUCCAGAUGAUCCCCAUCACAUGGCCAUUCACGGUGUGGGGACUCGACCUAGUAGGGCCUCUACAGAAGGCAGCAGGAGGAUACACCGAUUUGCUGGUGGCCAUCGACAAAUUCUCCAAAUGGAUCGAGGCUCGACCCAUCACGAACAUCUGCUCUAAGCAGGCCGUCCUUUUCUUCACCGACAUCAUCCACCGGUUUGGGAUUCCCAACGUCAUCAUCACCGACAACGGCACUCAGUUCACUGGCAAAAAGUUCUUGGACUUCUGUUUCCGGCAUCACAUCCGUGUGAACUGGUCCGCAGUGGCCCACCCACGAACUAACGGCCAGGUCGAGCAUGCCAACGACAUGAUUUUGCAGGGGCUCAAACCAAGAAUCUACAACCGGUUGAAGAAAUUCGGCAAGAAAUGGGUCGAAGAGCUCUCUUCGGUCCUAUGGAGCUUAAGGAUGACGCCCAGCAGGGCCAUGAAAUAUACCCCAUUCUUCAUGGUCUACAGCUCCAAGGCCGUGCUUCCAACAGACCUUGAGUAUGGGUCUCCUCGACUCAAAGCCUACAACGAGCAGUCAAAUAAGGAAACUCGAGAGAACGCGGUCGACCAGCUCGAGGAAGCUCGAGACAUAGCUCUCCUCAACUCCGCCAGAUACCAGCAAAAGCUUCGACGCUACCAGGAUAAGCACGUGUGCAAAAGGGAUUUGAACGUGGGCGAUCUUGUUCUACAGCGACGGCAAAGCAACCAAGGGCGCCACAAACUUUCUCCGCCAUGGGAGGGCCCAUACGUGGUGGCCGAGGUCCUGAAGCCAGGGACAUAUAAGCUCACGGACGAAAAAGGGGCAGUCUUCACCAACGCGUGGAACAUCGAAUAGCUACGUCGAUUCUACCCCUAGAAUUUCAAAGCUUUAUGUUCCCAUGUACAUUCUGUACCGAGACCUUAUGAAUGAAUGCAUGAAUGGAUAAGAUCUUUCCCUCGAGUAAUUUACUUUUUCUUUGGUCGAAAUCUCGACGUUACAAGGGAGUACCAACUAUGACCCAUCAUAGUCGAUACCCCCUCGGGGGCUAGCAGGGGGGACCCCCCCAAGUGUCUAAAAAACCAAGUGAUUUUUUCUUUCCUAUCAGUAAACCUCGCACGGUCGAGUAGUAGAGGCACCUCGAGGCCCUUAAGGGCCGAGAGACGACGAGCUUGAGAACUCCUACGCCCCCGGGCUAUGGUAACUCUACUCGCUCCCUCACCCUCAAGGCAAUCGAGGUCGCCUUAACAAAAGACCAAACGGGGAUACAGACAUAGGCAGAAAGGAAACAAAAGAGGGUGCGAACAAAGGAAUAGGCAAAUAUUCAGAGAUCUUAUAAACCACUUAAAAAACACAAUAUUUCCUUAAGACAAAACAAUAAGUACUGUACAAGGGGCCUUAGCACUCAGGACAGGCUCGCAGGCCUCAGUCGGUGUCUCGGCCCUCACCACCCUCGUCCACGCCCAAGCUAGUCUCGGGAGGAAGUACUUUCAGCUCGAACAGCUUCGCCAGCCUUUCCCUAGGGGCCUCUGUGUCGUCAAUCAAGGCAUGGAGCCUCUCCUCGUUCUCCACAUCGGUCUUGGAAAUGUCAGUGACGAAGCCGUGGGACACCACCUCCAUAUCAUAGGAAAAGCCCGAGUAGACAACCGCCUUCGCCCGCUUCACCCCGGUAUGAAGGGCGUCCCGCACCCGGUCCCUCAGCGUGGCACCUAGGUAACACAGCUGAUCGACCAGUGCGUCGCCUCGAGCCGCCUCCCUCGACUCGUCCAUAGGCUCGAAUUCCUAGGAGGCCGAGAGAUCGCUUAUCGCAGUCCGCAGCCGACCGUUCAAAGCGACCUCCCCCUCGAGUUGUGCCUUGGUGGAGCGGGCCUCGACUUGAGCAACUAGCAGCUCGUCUUUAAGCCCUACAAAGGCCGACACAGAGAAGUUAGAUAACACAAAGCACACCCUGGGAAAGAAACACGACGGUAGAAACAUACCAUGAAUUUUCUCCUCUAGAGCCAUAUUCACGCCAACCAAAUCAGUGUUGGCCCUCUCGAUCUCCCUAUGAGAGCGGACCAGGUCAGUAUUGGCGACCCACAAGUCCUCGAUCGCCUUGCCCACCUGUGUGAUAGCUCCAUCUUUCUCCAGCAACGCUCUCUUCAGACGAUCGACGUAAGCAGAGAGGCUGCGAGAUCGAGCCCGCUCCGUCUCGAGAUCCUCGAGGGCCUUCUUCUUGGCCUCUUCUACGGUGCUAUGAGCGAUCUCACCCUUCACACACUCCACCUUCAUCUCUUGGAAGGCCUCUCGGCUAGAGGCAAGGUCAGCCUUGAUAAGGACCUUUCCUUGUCGAGGUCGGCGGCUGCAUCCUUAUAGAAUGCGGCCUCUUCCCGAGCCUUGGACGCAGCCUCCUCGACCGUCAUGGUCUGCUCCCUCAGCAGCGUGGCCUCUUCCACCGCCUUCCUCAAGGCCUCCUGAGCUUCAGCCAGAGCGGCCUCCCUCUCCUUCUUCUCCACCUCGAGUGCCAAAAGCUCCUUGUAAGCCUUGAGGAGCUUCUCCUGCGACUCCAGGAGUUGGUCCUUGAGGAGAGGGAGUUGCUCCCAGCCGACCCUCGUCGCGUGGAUAAAGCUCGACUUUAAACGGGAGGUCUCUUUCAAAUCCUGCGAGCCAGCAGUUGGAUAGUAAGAACACGAAAACCAAACGUCCUAUGGUAGUUAAGGCCCAAAGACACUUACAAAAUAAGCCGGACCGAGCCCGUUGUUAACAACGUCGGACAGGAGCCCCACCACAUGCUUCAUCCAGAGGCGAAGCUCCUCGAGAUGAUCCCACUUUUCAGCCUCCUUCUAAUCAUCCAUAAAAUGUUAGGCUCGGACGGGUCAGUGGAGGCCCAAAUGCGGAUCCGAUCAGGGCACCAGUUUUCCAUCUCCUCCUCCGUGCGCGCCUUGACGCCCCGGAUGAGCUCUUAGAUGGUCUCGAGCGACCCCCUGUGACGCAAAAAUAGGUCAAUGAGGGAGGGGAAUCGCUCGUCGUCAUCCACGGUCCUCCAAGUCCCGGUCUCGCUUGCACCACCGCCGCCCGACGUCCUGGCUUUGUCUUCCUCGGCGAGAAUGCGAUCCUCCCAUGAUCGACGCUCUCGAAGGAAUCCAGGAGUGAUCCCCUCGAUGCCGUAGAUCAUGCCCUUGAUCUCGGACUGAGGGUCCACCGGGGUGCGCAUCAUGCAAGUAAGCGCCACCACGCCAUCCGUCCGCCCUAGCUCAGCCGGGAUAGAAGCGGGCACUCCCGGAUGGAUCCACGCAGUGGUAGGCGGACCAUUGACUGGCAGACCCUCCUCCCCGGUCUCAGGCCUCUGUGGCGACGGUGGCACUGGCUGGGGCGAGCUUCGCGGUGGCGGCUCAAGCAGUUCUUCUAACUGCUGACUGUGUUGUCACUGCUGCCUCUGGAGUUCGAGCAGCUGUAACAUCCCCGAUGUUACGAUUACUAAAAUUUGGAUCAUUGCAUCAUCAGCAUUGCACAGCAUAUUGGUUAAGCACACCUUUAUGCAUCAACUUAAAAUGAGUUUAAUUUGGUUGAAUGUGCUUAGGGAAUUAAAGUGUGUUUAUCUUGUUAGUGAUGCUUGAGUUGGUUGCUAAAACCCUAGGGUAAAGUUUUUCCGAAGGCUUAGGGGGGGGACCUUAAUUUGUGAACCCUAGAUUUUGCCCCCUUUCACACAAUUUGAAAACUAAGCAAAAUUUGAGGUUGAGUUCAAAAGCAAAGUUGUAGAUCUUGUCAAUAUGCACAACUUUGGUGUUUUGAGUUUUUGAAGUUUCUAUACAAAAUUCAAAGUAAUUUUGAAAAUACAGAUUUCUCGAAAGUGUCCCCUUUUCUAAUUUGAAUCUCCAAUUCAAAAUCUGUUUGGAAUUUUGAAAAGUGGUCAACAUGAAAGUUGUAGAGCUCAAAAGGUUGAACAACUUUCAUGUUGGGAGUUUUUCAAGUUGUUAUGCAAAAUCAAAAGUAAUUUUGGAAACCCUGUUUUGUCCCCAAUUCAAAAAUUUGAAUUUCUUUGAAUUGAGUUUGAAUUUCAAAACUGUUUGGCCAAAUUAGCUACUUUCCACUCAGAAUCAGCUCUGCCCACCAAAAGAUGAUUUGUAGCUUACAAAAUUUUGCACAACUUUUAUUUUGGUGGCAAUUUGGCUUUAGUUCAAACUUUGGCUGAUUUUCACAAGGGGACAAAAGGGGAGGAUAGGGGUUGCUACAGUGAUCCGAUGAGGAUCAUCGGCCCCUGUCCAGCGCAUCCGCCGCGCGAGCUGCGCCGCGCGCAUGCGUGCAAGCACGCAGCUGCUUGCUGCCAGAGCCGCCAGGCGACGAGGACGCCCUGGGCUCGCUCCUUCCUCCACUUGAGCACCAACGUGGACGACACCGCUCGAUUUCGCUGUCCACGGCCGAAGAAACCUGGCGUCUCCCUCUCUGAAAUUCACCGUACUCAGUUCCUCUCGAGCCAAAUUGAGCACUCUGUAGCAUUCGCCACCUCCUUGCAAACCCAGUGCACCUCCGAGUUCCCUCUCUAGUCCGCUCAAUCGCCGGGGCUACUCUUUCUUCUCCAACUCCGGCCGAAACCGCCGCCGAGAAACUCCUUCCGUGGCCACGUGAUUCCAGUAAGUAGCACGCGUUACUCGUGGUUGUUUUCGGUCCCUCUUCAGCUCCUACAGCUCAUGCGCUCGCUCUUUCCUCUUGGACGCGAACAGGAUCGCCGGAACAAGCUUGCCGGAGCCGGAGCACCCGCCCGACGGCACCGUCUUCAUCGCCCGCAGUCUCGGCUACCUCCCCGAGUCCCGCGACGUGAGCACCGUGCUCCUCAGCACUCCCUGAACCUCCCUACACCAUUCGUUUGCACUCUACCGGGCCCUAGUGGCCGGCCGACAGUCGGCCAUGGCGGCCGUCCGCCAGUGAUGCGGUUGAGGUAGAGAGAAGGCGGUAGAGUACGAGUAAGUCGUAGCAAUCGGUUCACGAAGGCGAGGCGGAGCUGAUGCGCGCGCGCGCGGGGUACGAGGGCCUCGCAGUGUCGCCGCGCGUGAAGGGAACGGAACUGACAGGUAGGGUCUUCCUGUCAGUGUCCCGCAGAGAGGAGGGGAGGCGGCGCCUGACGAGCGGGACCCGCUCGUCAGUGACCACGCGCAGGGGGAGCAGCGCACGCACAGCGUCCGCGCGGGCCGAGCUGGAGCGGGCCGGCCUGCGGGCCGAAUUCCGGCCACUCGCUGCAGUGUUUUUCCUUUUUCUUUUUAUGCAGUUUUUGAUUUAUAUUUGAAUUUAUGUAAUAAAUCUUGUGUAGAUCCAAAAAUCAUGGAAAUUUUUGUGUAGAUUCCCUAGAAUAAGUAGAACCCAAGAAAAAUAUUAGGUUCUGUUUUCUGAUAGUUUUCAAGGGUAUAAAAAUUGCCCCUUUUAAUUAGUAAAUAAAACUUCUAGGAAUUUUAACAAUUUAUUUAUGUGUCCAAAAAUCACCAAACUUUGUGGGGAGUCUCUGAAUAUUAUUUCCAGACUUCACACAAAAUUUGGAGGCAGUUGGAUAAUGUUUGAAUAAAAUAUUAAUAAACCCUUAUUUAGUAAUUAAAUAAUAAUUCCAAGAUAAUUAGAUAGUGAUUAGUUAAAUCCUCAUAAUUAGGGUUGAGUGAUUUUGGGAUUGUGUGAUGACCUGAGGUCAUUAACCCUAAUGACCUUUGGCAUUUAAUUAUUGUUUGGCCUUAAUGCUUAAUUACUGUCAUUAGUGUUUAAUUAAGAGUUAAUUAAGGUAAAUAGGAUUAAUAAUUAGUUAAUUCAGAAUAAUUAUGAAUUAAGAAAAAGUACCAAUUUACAGAUGCAACCUCUUGGGUAAAGACACUAAGAUGUUAAACAACUUUAAUUAUUAUUUAAUCUGUGUUGCACCGAGGCGGCCAGUUGUAUUUAACUUGGUCCCUUUUUGCAUAUUUGUCAUGCGCAUAUCAUGAGCAUUCUUCAUUUUGCGUAUAGUGCACGUGACCGAAGGAGCGCCCGUUGAACCGAACGCCGAGGUCGGUGCUCCGUUCGAAGAAGUAGGAUCCGAGACUUGGGAAGUCUCCGAGGGUCCCUCUCUGCCCUGCAACCAAGGCAAGCUCCGGAUGCAUUAACCCCUCCUUGAACGUUUUAAAUCUUUUAUCACUUAUGAAUUGAAAAUGCUGCAUUAGGUAGUUGAGAAUUGGUUAACCUACUUGCUGCAUUUACUACCGUGAUAUUUGUUAUCUUGUCCUUGACACCUGUUUUGUUUUACAACGGCGUAGUGAUGCUUAGCCCUGCUACUAGAUAGGUUUUCAAACAAGAAAGUUUGAAGGGUUGUUGUGGAAUACACUCAUGGUCAAUGAUGUUUCAACUUGAGACCGGUCGGCGGACUUGCUUUAAGAAUGGAGUCUUAAAGUAGUGUCUCCAACUGUGUCGGUUAAGGACCGGUCCGUUGAUGGCCCGCUGGGUUGAGAAUUUAUAGUACUAGCCACUUGCCCUCGGUAAGCCCGGUCUUGUGAUCCCUCGACGCGAACAGCUACUCGCGCACUGGGCGUGGAGCGAUGGCGAGAGUAGUGUGUACCCACCUUACGGAUCUGAGAUGACCGGGAAACAUCUAGAUCGGCUGUAGGAUGGUGGAGUACUGUGCUCUCGGGUGCCGUGAACCUGGUCAAAUUUGGGGAGAGCUUGAUUUGGGUUGAUAUAUGCAAGAUUUGGUUCUACAUAUGUCGGGUGGUUAGGAACUCCAGCUGGAUUGCUAAGCGGUUUGAAUCAUCGUUGCUCCCCGAUUGGGAGACUCAAUCCACUGCCCCUCAUCGUAGUUAAAUAUGCAACUAAGAGCUAAAAUGAGAAAGGGGGAAAAUGUCUCAUGAGGUUCAGAUCCCAAUUCCCGGACUCAGAGUGACAUGAAGCUAUGGCCGUUGGAUAGAUCAUACUUCGAUUAAGGACUAGGAACUUACAGACUUGUCUGUGAGAAGAAACUAGUUAGACUGUCCUCGAACUCCUCGGCCUCGUAAGGAGAGGAAUUCGUGGGUAAAACUUGAAAGUAAGGAUGCACUAUUAGUAAGCUUUUCCGCAAAAUACUUUGGCUCCUUGCUCAGCCACUCCUUGUCCACCCUAAGCCUGCAUCCCUAAUUUCUCCUCUUUUUCUGCCGGGUAAGUCUUGUUGAGUACUCCCGUACUCAGGGUUUUCCAACCCCCUGUUGCAGGUGAAGCCCAGGAGCCGACUUGUUUCGGACCCUGUUGUGUGACCGUCGUCGAAGUUGACGACGAAGAAGAGUGAGCGUGACCCAUGGGCAGGGUCUGUAAAUUUGUAACUUUUGUACUAAAGUUUAAGUUGCUCCGUUGGACCUGGCUUGUAAUAACACUCUUCUAUUUGGAAGAACUCCUUUUGUAAAUUAAGUUAUGUAAUACUUCCGCUGUUUUACUCUGAAAUAUUAUUUUAGUCUUGUGUCGUAUGUGAUACUGCAAUGUCUUUGCAACGAGUGAUCCUGGUGUUAAGGUGGCCACUUGCUAUGUGAUAAGGGCGAGGAGAAGACAUUUUCGUUAAAUGACCAUUGUUGGUGGUCAAGACGAGCUUGUUUAAAACAUCCCAGAUAGCGGUGGAAUGAGCGUCCUGAGAUGCUCAUCGGACUUCUAAAGUGGGAGGAUCCCCGGCAUUACCGUCAGAGGUCCCUGGGACAAUGACAAGUGUCGGUGGGCCCAAACACUUAGGAGGUUCUGCCACAGCUGGUAUCAGAGCAUUCGUUGCUAAGAUGACUGCUGUACCUCUUGAAAAACUUCAAAAUUCGUUUGGAUCCAAUACUAUAAACCUGCCUAUUUUGAGUCCAAGUGCUUAGUCCUACCUUACCCCUGUCUGUAGGCUUUCUUAGAAUUUUUGGAGUGGUUUGGAGGAGCGACAUUAAGUAUUGUCCUGGGUUGUAAAAGUAUUAAGUAAUAUCGUUACGAAUUGUUGAUAGGAAUCGUAAGUUCGUGCAGGCAUCAUGAUUUAUCACUUGGUUAAGUUCCUUCCUCCUUGUCGGGUUGGGUGAAUAGAAUCAAUCCUAUUCUUGCUAACCUUUAAGGUCUCUCUUACUAAUCUAAACUUACCCUCUACAGGAUGGCCUGUUGGAAACAGACCCCGCGCAAGAGGACAGGUCCAAAAGGAGUCCCCAGACUUCAGUUGGCCCUGCGCAGCGAUCAAGCGAGCAGUAGCCGUUCCCCGCCUCAACAGGAGGUGGAUAGGUUGUCCGCCGAGUUGAUUGAGGUGAUGAGAGAAAGAAUGUACAAUGUUAUGGAGAUCCGCGAACUUAAAGCUCAACUAGCCAAAGAAAAACAAGCUACCGAGAACUCUGAGGCCAUGUUGUCCCGUAUGGUGGAGGAGAGGAAUGCCGCCAUUGCCCGAGAAGAAGAGGCCAGGAGCGCACACAGGCACGAGCUGACUAGGAUGAAUGCGAAGCUGGGCAAGGCCAGGUACCUUAAAGAUUUGUACGUGAAGAUGGCGGCCACGGUCACCGCGCAGCUGGAUGUUGCGUGGCAGCGGGAGGACCAGCUCCAGUUGGAGAAGCUGGAGCUGGCACAUCACAUAGAUACCGUCAAUGACUUGGCAAUGCAAUAUCGUGAUAUUGCAUUUGACCUAUAUCAUCAGCUCCAUCCACCUCCAGGCGAAGGAUAGAUGGAUACGGAUGGCGAGUUGGCAGACGAUGGGGAACCCGAUCAUGGCCUCAGUGAUGAAGAGGAGUCCGACCCCGAUGACAACAACCCAGGGGGUAAUCAGGAUGAUGGCAAUGACGACCCGGGCUACAGCUCUGGCUACACCGACUAGUUCGAUGAAACCGCGGGCAACGUCGUUGUAGGAGUCCUAGCUUGCCGUAGUGGGGUCGGGUUUGUAAUAUAAGUUUUCUUUCGGUUUGAGAAGUUGUACUUGUUUGUUCCUGGUGUGUCGAACUAAUGUUUAAUAAAUAAAUGGAAGAAUGUAAGAUAUGUUCUACGUUAUGAAUUUCAUGUGGUAACAAGUACCUAUGAUUCUUGUAGCAGAUGCCGAUGCGUACACGCGGAUCUGAUGGAGCUGGGACAUCUCAGGGAGGGGAUGAUAUCCCCAACCCUCCACCUGCUCCACCUUCUUUGGCUGAUACCAUUGCUGUUCCGUUGAGUGCCACUACCGACAACGCUCGCUUACUCUGCGAGUUAGCACAACGUCAACCACACCCCGCCCCAAACUUCAGGGCACACCACAAUGGGGACGGAGAAGCUCGGUACGUGGACUUUACCGAGACAAGGCCCCUGGUAUUCACUAAGGCUGAUGAGCCAUUAGAAGUGGAUGAUUGGCUCCGGACCAUGGAGCACAAGUUCAGUUUGAUUCAGUGUUCAGAAACUCAGAAGCCCCUGUUCGCAGCUCAGCAGCUUCGAGGAGCUGCAGGUGGCGGUGGGAGAACUUCCUAGCUAUCCAAGCUCCGGGACACCAGGUCACCUGGACCGAGUUUAAGGACGCGUUCCACGCCCAUUAUAUCCCUGAAGGGCUCAUGGCCAUGAAGGCCGAAGAGUUUCUCGCCUUGCAGCAGGGCAAUAAAAGUGUCAUGGAAUACGUGGCAAAGUUUAAUCAUCUCUCUCAAUAUGCCACAGUCCAUGUGCACACGGACAGAAAGAAGAAAGCCUGCUUCAUGCGUGGUCUAAAUACUAAACUUCAGACCAUGAUGACCACCUGCCAAAAUGCUACCUUCUAUGAGGCGGUGAAUAUUGCCAUCGCCUCAGAGGAAAAGAAUAGAAAGCACAAAGAAGCCAAGAAGAAGACUGUUUCUUCCUCUUUCUCUGGUCGCGGUCAAAAGCGCCAGAGAAUCAUUUAUCAUCCGCUGGGCCACGGACGUUUUCAAGCGUCGUCACCUUAUCGUGGUCCCUUUUCCCCACCACAAUAUAGACUAGGGCAGCAGGUAUACCCUUGACCUACUGCCAUCGCUCUUGCACCACGCCAGCCGAACGCCCCAGGUGUUCGCCCCACUGCUCCGCCCAGCCACAAUUACCCUUGUUUCAAUUAUGGUAAGCCUGGGCAUUUCUCUAAAGAGUGCCCUUUCCCCCGCCAAACCAACCCUACCUUCCAAAGGCCACCUAUGGGCCAACCCCAGCCGGGUCAAUUCAGGACUGGGGUUCAGAAAGGACAACUUGUGCAAAGGGGGAAACCAGCGAAGAAAGUGGGACAAGUCUUCCAUACGGAGGUGGAGACGAUCCCGGAGGGUGAACCAGUAAUGAUGGGUACGUUUCCUGUCGUGAAACAUCUUGCUUUAAUGCUUUUUGAUUCUGGUGCAUCUCAUACAUUCAUCAAUCGCACCUUUGUGUUAAAGCAUGGCAUAGCCAUUGGGGAAACACAAGAUUAUUUUUAUAUACAGUCGCCAGGAGGGCGGCUGAGUUCUAAAGAAAUGGUUCACUAGAUACCCAUCGAAUUUGGUGGGCAUAGUUUUCCCACUAGCAUGAUUGUUCUUAAAGACCAGGAGAUUGAUGUCAUACUAGGCAUGAACUGGAUGGCACAACGAGGGGUUGUGCUAGACACUUUCCAUCGAACCAUUAAAAUCCCAUUGCCCAGUGAGAAAUCUUAUCUCCUAAUCCAGUUAGCUACUCCCAAGCGGACAAUUGGGCAAGUUCAUGCCGCUAAUGUGUCUGCAGUCGAAGAUAUCCCGGUAGUUCGGGAUUUUCCGGAUGUAUUUCCUGAAGACCUACCAGGUCUGCCACCGGAUCGGGAUGUACAAUUCAGUAUAGAAUUGAAACCAGGGACAGCCCCAAUAUCUCGAAGGGCCUACAGAAUGGCACCGAAAGAGCUGGCCGAAUUAAAAACCCAAUUACAAGAGCUAUUGCAGAAAGGUUUUAUUCAGCCCAGUUCUUCUCCAUGGGGUUGCCCAGCCUUGUUUGUGAAAAAGAAAGAACAAACAUUAAGGCUGUGUGUCAACUAUCGUCCCCUAAAUGAGGUGACGAUUAAGAAUAAGUACCCGUUGCCCCGUAUUGACUUAUUAUUUGACCAGUUAGCUGGGGCCAAAGUAUUCUCAAAAUUUGAUUUGAGAUCAGGGUACCACCAAAUUAAAAUUAGGCCGGAAGAUGUGCCCAAGACAGCUUUUACAACCCGUUACGGGCUGUAUGAAUACUUGGUAAUGUCUUUUGGGUUGACCAAUGCACCGGCCCAUUUCAUGUACCUGAUGAACUCUAUCUUCAUGCCCGAACUAGACAAAUUUGUAGUCGUCUUUAUUGAUGACAUCUUAAUCUAUUCCAAGACUAAGAAAGAACAUGCUGAACAUUUGAGAAUCGUGCUAACCCGUCUUAGGGAGCAUCAACAAUAUGCCAAGUUCAGCAAAUGUGAGUUCUGGCUAGACAAAGUUCAUUUCCUGGGGCAUGUAUUAUCAGCGGAGGGAGUCGCUGUAGACCCAGGCAAGGUAGAAGACGUGUUGAAUUGGAAACCCCCGACUACGGUACAUGAGGUCCGUAGUUUUCUAGGUAUGGCGGGAUAUUACCGUCGUUUUAUCCCAGACUUUUCAAGAGUCGCCAAACUAAUCACGACCUUGCUCAAGAAUCAAACAAGAUUUGUUUGGUCACCUCAGUGUGAGCAAGCCUUUCAGACUCUGAAAAGAUUAUUGACAACUGCGCCUGUCUUAGCCCAACCAGAUAUUGAAAAACCCUUUGAUGUGUAUUGUGACGCAUCAGGGAUUGGGAUAGGCUGUGUGCUAAUGCAGGAGGGUUGCGUAAUUGCAUAUGCUUCCAGACAGCUUAAACCACAUGAGGAGAAUUACCCGACCCAUGAUCUUGAACUAGCCGCCGUGGUACAUGCACUAAAGAUCUGGCGCCAUUAUCUGUUGGGGAACACAUGUCAUUUAUACACCGAUCACAAAAGCUUGAAGUAUAUUUUUACUCAAGCCGAGCUUAAUAUGCGCCAGGGAAGGUGGCUAGAACUAAUCAAAGAUUACGACCUUGAGGUGCAUUAUCAUCCUGGCAAGGCAAAUGUAGUAGUUGAUGCCCUCAGUCGUAAGGCUCACUGUAAUUACUUAACAGUGACGCCUAGAGAUAUAACUUUGUGCCAAGAGCUAGAGAACUUGGGGAUAGAAAUGAUUUCCCAAGGGAGCCUUGCCAAUCUAAAGAUUGACUUCAAUCUCGAAGCUCAAAUCAUAGAGGCACAAAAGGAAGACAAAGGCAUGAAACAUCUUAAAGAGAAAAUUUUUAAUAGAGCACCCACAGACUUUAAGGUGGAUGAUGCACGAGUAAUCUCGUUCAAGAACCGGUUAGUGGUUCCAAAGGUACCUGAGCUACGUCAACAAAUCCUGGAUGAAGCUCAUACCACGAGGUAUUCUAUUAAUCCGGGAAGCAAUAAGAUGUAUCGGGACCUAAAGCAAAGGUGUUGGUGGACAAAAAUGAAGAUAGAAAUAGCUCGCUAUGUGGCCCAAUGUGACACCUGCCGAAAAGUCAAAGCUAUUCAUCUCAAAUCCGCUGGAGAGUUGCAACCCUUGCCUAUUCCAGCAUGGAAAUGGGAUGACAUAAGUAUGGAUUUUAUAGUAGGAUUGCCUAAGACAGCCAAAGGCUUUGAUUCAAUUUGGGUCAUUGUAGAUCGUCUCACCAAAACAGCACACUUUUUACCUAUAAAGAAAUCGUAUCAUACUUCCACCUAUGCUCAGAUCUAUUUUGAUCGUAUAUUAAGUCUGCAUGGGGUGCCAAAGACAAUAGUGUCAGAUAGAGGCACACAAUUUGUCUCCCAGUUCUGGAAAUGCUUACAUGAAUCCUUGGGCACCAAACUUCUAUUAAGAUCUUGUGCCCUGAAUUUUCCGGAUAAGUGGGAUGACUGCUUGCCUCUAGCAGAAUUUUCUUACAACAAUAGCUACCAAGAGAGUAUCAAGAUGGCUCCCUUUGAGGCACUAUAUUGCCUUCGAUGUCGAACUCCGUUACACUGGUCGGAACCCGGAGAAAGAUGGUUCUUCGGGGUUGACUUAGUGAAAGAGACUGAAAACAAAGUUAAACAAAUUCAAAAUAACUUGAAAGUUGCUCAGUCCCGACAGAAAAGCUACGCCGAUAAAAGACGUCGACCGUUAAGAUUCGCCAAGGGUGACCAUGUAUAUUUGAAAGUGUCCCCAAUGAAAGGAGUGAAUCGUUUUGGUGUUAAAGGCAAGUUAGCGCCCCGUUACAUUGGUCCAUUUCCAAUUAUUGACCGAUGUGGACAGGUAGCUUACCGCCUUAAACUGCCCGAACGAUUAUCCGGGAUACAUAAUGGGUUCCAUGUGUCUCAACUGAAGAAGUGUCUUCGGGUACCAGACCAGGUUCAAGAUAUUGAAGAUGUAGAACUUGAACCAGAUCUAACUUAUUCGGAGUAUCCUAUCCGAGUACUGGAUCAAAGGAAGAGAGUUAAUCGAAGAACGACUACCAAGUGGUACAAGAUAUAGUGGAGCCAACACUCUGAAGAGGAAGCCACCUGGGAAUCUGAAGACUAUCUGCUGGGGAAUUUUCCUGAAUUCCACGCUUCUCUUUAGGACAACAGCUGAUACAUAGGGAGCGUACUCUAGUGAAGGAAAGGAGUAGCCAACGCCAUGUACUUUGUGUACAUAUAUGUUUAUAAUGGAGUGGUUUUCCCCAACUUCUUGUUUUAUGAGAAAGUUGAAGAUGAAAAAGUUUUGACAAAUUUCCUUUUCCAUUACUCAUCCUAAGGCUUUAAAUCUCGAGGACGAGAUUUCUUUAAGGGGGAAAGACUGUAACAUCCCCGAUGUUACGAUUACUAAAAUUUGGAUCAUGGCAUCAUCAGCAUUGCACAGCAUAUUGGUUAAGCACACCUUGAUGCAUCAACUUAAAAUGAGUUUAAUUUGGUUGAAUGUGCUUAGGGAAUUAAAGUGUGUUUAUCUUGUUAGUGAUGCUUGAGUUGGUUGCUAAAACCCUAGGGUAAAGUUUUUUCGAAGGCUUAGGGGGGGACCCUGAUUUGUGAACCCUAUAUUUUGCCCCCUUUCACACAAUUUGAAAACUAAGCAAAAUUUGAGGUUGAGUUCAAAAGCAAAGUUGUAGAUCUUGUCAAUAUGUACAACUUUGGUGUUUUGAGUUUUUGAAGUUUCUAUACAAAAUUCAAAGUAAUUUUGAAAAUACAGAUUUGUGGAAAGUGUCCCCUUUUCUAAUUUGAAUCUCCAAUUCAAAAUCUGUUUGGAAUUUUGAAAAGUGGUCAACAUGAAAGUUGUAGAGCUCAAAAAGUUGAACAACUUUCAUGUUGGGAGUUUUUUAAGUUGUUAUCAAAAAUCAAAAGUAAUUUUGGAAACCCUGUUUUGUCCCCAAUUCAAAAAUUUGAAUUUCUUUGAAUUGAGUUUGAAUUUCAAAACUGUUUGGCCAAAUUAACUACUUUCCACUCAGAAUCAGCUCUGGCCACCAAAAGAUGAUUUGUAGCUUACAAAAUUUUGCACAACUUUUAUUUUUGUGGCAAUUUGGCUUUAGUUCAAACUUUGGCCGAUUUUCACAAGGGGACAAAAGGGGGAGGAUAGGGGUUGCUACAGUGAUCCGAUGAGGAUCACCGGCCCCUGUCCAGCGCAUCCGCCGCGCGAGCUGCGCCGCGCGCAUGCGUGCAAGCACGCAGCUGCUUGCUGCCAGAGCCGCUAGGCAACGUGGACGCCCUGGGCUCGCUCCUUCCUCCACUUGAGCACCAACGUGGACGACGCCGCUCGAUUUCGCUGUCCACGGCCGAAGAAACCCGACGUCUCCCUCUCUGAAAUUCACCGUACUCAGUUCCUCUCGAGCCAAAUUGAGCACUCUGUAGCAUUCGCCACCUCCUUGCGAACCCAGUGCACCUCCGAGUUCCCUCUCUAGUCCGCUCAAUCGCCGGGGCUACUCUUUCUUCUCCAACUCCGGCCGAAACCGCCGCCGAGAAACUCCUUCCGUGGCCACGUGAUUCCAGUAAGUAGCACGCGUUACUCGCGGUUGUUUCCGGUCCCUCUUCAGCUCCUACAGCUCAUGCGCUCACUCUUUCCUCUUGGACGCGAACAGGAUCGCCGGAACAAGCUUGCCGGAGCCGGAGCACCCGCCCGACGGCACCGUCUUCGUCGCCCGCAGUCUCGGCUACCUCCCCGAGUCCCGCGACGUGAGCACCGUGCUCCUCAGCACUCCCUGAACCUCCCUACACCAUUCGUUUGCACUCUACCGGGCCCUAGUGGCCGGCCGACAGUCGGCCAUGGCGGCCAUCCGCCAGUGAUGCGGUUGAGGUAGAGAGAAGGCGGUAGAGUACGAGUAAGUCGUAGCAAUCGGUUCGUGAAGGUUAGGCGGAGCUGAUGCGCGCGCGCGCGGGGGGGCCGAGGGCCUCGCUAUCGGCCGCUGGAGCUGCGGCAGUGUCGCCGCGCGUGAAGGGGACGGAACUGACAGGUAGGGUCUUCCUGUCAGUGUCCCGCAGAGAGGAGGGGAGGCGGCGCCUGACGAGCGGGACCCGCUCGUCAGUGACCACGCGCAGGGGGAGCAGCGCACGCACAGCGUCCGCACGGGCCGAGCUGGAGCGGGCCGGCCUGCGGACCGAAUUCCGGCCACUCGCUGCAGUGUUUUUCCUUUUUCUUUUUAUGCAGUUUUUGAUUUAUAUUUGAAUUUGUGUAAUAAAUCUUGUGUAGAUCCAAAAAUCAUGGAAAUUUUUGUGUAGAUUCCCUGGAAUAAGUAGAACCCAUGAAAAAUAUUAGGUUCUGUUUUCUGAUAGUUUUCAAGGGUAUAAAAAUUGCCCCUUUUAAUUAGUAAAUAAAACUUCUAGGAAUUUUAACAAUUUAUUUAUAUGUCCAAAAAUCACCAAACUUUGUGGGGAGUCUCUGAAUAUUAUUUCCAGACUUCACACAAAAUUUGGUGGCAGUUGGACAAUGUUUGAAUAAAAUAUUAAUAAACCCUUAUUUAGUAAUUAAAUAAUAAUUCCAAGAUAAUUAGAUAGUGAUUAGUUAAAUCCUCAUAAUUAGGGUUGAGUGAUUUUGGGAUUGUGUGAUGACCUGAGGUCAUUAACCCUAAUGACCUUUGGCAUUUAAUUAUUGUUUGGCCUUAAUGCUUAAUUACUGUCAUUAGUGAUUAAUUAAGAGUUAAUUAAGGUAAAUAGGAUUAAUAAUUAGUUAAUUCAGAAUAAUUAUGAAUUAAGAAAAAGUACCAAUUUACAGAUGCAACCUCUUGGGUAAAGACACUAAGAUGUUAAACAACUUUAAUUAUUGUUUAAUCUGUGUUGCACCGAGGCGGCCAGUUGUAUUUAACUUGGUCACUUUUUGCAUAUUUGUCAUGCGCAUAUCAUGAGCAUUCAUCAUUUUGCGUAUAGUGCACGUGACCGAAGGAGUGCCCGUUGAACCGAACCCCGAGGUCGGUGCUCCGUUCGAAGAAGUAGGAUCCGAGACUUCUGAAGUCUCCGAGGGUCCCUCUCUGCCCUGCAACCAAGGCAAGCCCUGGAUGCAUUAACCCCUCCUUGAACGUUUUAAAUCUUUUAUCACUUAUGAAUUGAAAAUGCUGCAUUAGAUAGUUGAGAAUUGGGUUAACCUACUUGCUGCAUUUACUACCGUAAUAUUUCUUAUCUUGUCCUUGACACCUGUUUUGUUUUACAACGGCGUAGUGAUGCUUAGCCCUGCUACUAGAUAGGUUUUCAAACAAGAAAGUUUGAAGGGUUGUUGUGGAAUACACUCAUGGUCAAUGAUGUUUCAACUUGAGACCGGUCGGCGGACUUGCUUUAAGAAUGGAGUCUUAAAGCAGUGUCUCCAACUGUGUCGGUUAAGGACCGGUCCAUUGAUGGCCCGCUGGGUUGAGAAUUUAUAGUACUAGCCACUUGCCCUCGGUAAGCCCGGUCUUGUGAUCCCUCGACGCGAACAGCUACUCGCGCACUGGGCGUGGAGCGAUGGCGAGAGUAGUGUGUACCCACCUUACGGAUCUGAGAUGACCGGGAAACAUCUAGAUCGGCUGUAGGAUGGUGGAGUACUGUGCUCUCGGGUGCCGCGAACCUGGUCAAAUUUGGGGAGAGCUUGAUUUGGGUUGAUAUAUGCAAGAUUUGGUUCUACAUAUGUCGGGUGGUUAGGAACUCCAGCUGGAUUGCUAAGCGGUUCGAAUUGUCGUUGCUCCCCGAUUGGGAGACUCAAUCCACUGCCCCUCAUCAUAGUUAAAUAUGCAACUAAGAGGUAAAAUGAGAAAGGGGGAAAAUGUCUCAUGAGGUUCGGAUCCCAAUUCUCGGACUCAGAGUGACAUGAAGCUAUGGCCGUUGGAUAGAUCAUAUUUCGAUUAAGGACUAGGAACUUACAGACUUGUCUGUGAGAAGAAACUAGUUAGACUGUCCUCGAACUCCUCAGCCUCGUAAGGAGAGGAAUUCGUGGGUAAAACUUGAAAGUAAGGAUGCACUAUUAGUAAGCUUUUCCGCAAAAUACUUUGGCUCCUUGCUCAGCCACUCCUUGUCCACCCUAAGCCUGCAUCCCUAAUUUCUCCUCUUUUUCUGCCGGGUAAGUCUUGUUGAGUACUCCCGUACUCAGGGUUUUCCAACCUCCUGUUGCAGGUGAAGCCCAGGAGCCGACUUGUUUCGGACCCUGUUGUGUGACCGUCGUCGAAGUUGACGACGAAGAAGAGUGAGCGUGACCCAUGGGCAGGGUCUGUAAAUUUGUAACUUUUGUACUAAAGUUUAAGUUGCUCCGCUGGACCUGGCUUGUAAUAACACUCUGCUAUUUGGAAGAACUCCUUUUGUAAAUUAAGUUAUGUAAUACUUCCGCUGUUUUACUCUGAAAUAUUAUUUUGGUCUUGUGUCGUAUGUGAUACUGCAAUGUCUUCGCAACGAGUGAUCCUGGUGUUAAGGUGGCCACUUGCUAUCUGAUAAGGGCGAGGAGAAGACAUUUUCGUUAAAUGACCAUUGUUGGUGGUCAAGACGAGCUUGUUUAAAACAUCCCAGAUAGCGGUGGAAAGAGCGUCCUGAGUUGAUCAUCAGACUUCUAAAGUGGGAGGAUCCCCGGCAUUACCGUUAGAGGUCCCUGGGACAAUGACAAGUGUCGGUGGGCCCAAACACAUAGGAGGUUCUGCCACAGCAGCUCCUACUGCCGGUCCUCCUCCAGCAGCUCCUCAAGCCGUUCCCCUUGUUGCCGCCUCCCCUCCUCUCCUUCUUCUACUUCCUGCUGCAGUUGUUGCCCCCCCUCCUGCAGCUGUUGCUGCAUCUCCCGCUCGCACUCUUCAGCCCGAUGGGCCAAGGCAUCCGCUCCGUGACAAGGGAAGCCUCGACCUCCUCGUCCGCGGACCGGGCGUCCUUCGGAAGCCUGUCACCGCUGGACCCGUCACUUAUAGUGAUAGGAUCCCUCUCGACCCUAGAAUGGGGAGGCUCCGGGGCUCCCUCCUACUCUUGGGGGCGAGGCGCCUCGACCCGCUUCGGUGAUGGCGGGGUGGACUCCCCCACCAAUGGAUGAGGCGAGGCGCUCUCGACACCUGUCGGCGACCGAGGAACGAAGGAGCCUAUAAGCGCUCGAAUGCAAAAAGUCAGUCACCAUGAUAAUCAACAUAAGGGUAACACGACUCCUAUAAUAUCAAGAAAGGAAUGAGCUACUAACCCGAGUCCUUGGAAGCCGUGCCCACCUUGAGCCUCUUGGCCAUCGAGAGCUGGGCCUGUUCGAGCGGCUGCUUCAACCUGAGGAAAGUGGAAUAAGCGUAAAGAAGCCGUUACCCGAGAAAAUGCAAGGACAUCGAAAGGAAAGAAUCAGUACGUCGAAGAUCUUACCCCACAGGAAGAGCGACCCGUCGACGAGCGCCUCAACCAGCAGGCCUCAAGCCACCCCGCGUCGAGGCUCCGGCCCCCUCACGAACGGGCGCAUGUCUCGGCCCGGCGUCUCCCGCCUGACCAGCACCUGGACUAGUACUCCCACGACCCGUUUCCCCCUUACUCGAGGCCGCGGCGCGACCACGGGUCAACGGCCUCGUCACCAGAGACUUAACCCGAUCGCCCGCCUUAGAUGCAGGGGGAGGUUGGGGGUUGGGAAUGGUCUGACCUUGCGCAGGCGCCGGGGGGUGUCGGCGCGAGAGCGAUACGGAGAUGACUCCCUCUGUUGACUCUCACGAGGCCUGCUUGGUGCCCCCUUAGGGACUCCCGUCCUCAGGACGUCGACGCCAGUCUGAGGCGGACCCUCGAGGAUCCUUUCGAGACGGGACGCCAUCCCAUUGGAGUCGUCGCUGUCGUCGUCACCCUCGCCACCAUCGUACCCAUCGGGGGAUUCUUCUUCAGGCUCCCCCCUCUGCCUGGACUUCGCUCGACGAGUCUCCAAUGCUUGUCGCGCAAGAUUUUUCUUCUUUUCCUUCUUCUUUUCCAAGUCCUUUACAGACUUUAGCUUCUACGCAGACUCGCGCCUCUUGUCGCGAUCCACGUCAUCCUCCUUCACUGGAGGCUUCGAGGAUCGAGCGUCGAUCGAUCCCUGCAUGAGCAAAGAUAAGUCUUAAAGAAGGUCGAAGAAAACCAAGAAUUGAAGCUAUAAGUGGAAGAGGGACUUACCAGGUCAAUCGAUCCCUGAUCGGGCCUCAUAGGGAAGCCAUUGACAUGCUCAGACUUAAAGUCGCCUGCAACGGCCGCCCUGACUCUGGCCGCCACCUCGUCGUCCGCAGGCGCUUCAUUAGACAUCUGGCAAACCUCGAGAACGUGAGACGAGACGCCAGGGCCCAUCACGUCCAUCCUCAACGGCCGGGACAUCAACGGGAGCACUCGUCGAUGAUGUACGACGGAAAGGACGAGCCCCGCCGUUAGGCCCUCCUCAUGCAGCUUCUUCAGGGCGUCGAGGAUGGGAUCGAGCCGCGAUUGGUGGGCCUGGACAACACCGUACCUCCAAUGGUCCGGGCGCUCCGACAUCAAGCGCCCGGUGUAGGUAGGGAGGAGGUCGUCGUCAUUCCACAGGAAGAACCAUUGGGAGUCCCACCCGGCGUGGUUCGACAUCAACCCCACCGGGAUGUACUCACGCGGUUUCUCCGCCUUGCCAGUCUUCAUCACCAGGUUGAGGCACCCGGCCCACACCGGCUUCCUCACCCCUGUGGUUCCACUAGGGGAGUGGAAGAGCUCACCCCGGUACCAGUGGAGCCACAGGUCCCAGUGUGGCAUCAUCCCGAGAUGGCCCUCACACACCACGGCAAAAAUCACCGCGACAGUGAUGGCAUUUGGCGAAAAAUGCUGGAGCUCCACCCCGUAGUGGUGGCAGAGCGCCCGCAUGAAAUGACUCGGAGGGGAGCCCAGGCCGUGGCAGUGGAACUUGGCGAAGGAGACCACGUAGCCCUUGGGCGGCCUUGGCUCCCGGUGGUCCGCCGCCAACGCGAUCCACUCUGGCCUCGACGACGAAACACGGGGGCGCAGGAGCCCCUCCCUCUCGAGCUCCAACAGCCGACGCUCCGUCAUCGACGAUGGGCGCCAGUCAUCGGUGGCGAUGAGUCUCACCGGCAUCUUGAGGAGGAGGAAGAGCAACUGAGCUACUGCUCGAGGGUGCACGCGCGCGGAAAAUGGUAAGGAGGCAGAGGCAAGAGCAAAGGUGGAAGGCGGAAGACGGAAGGAGUAACGAUCAGGAGACCCGGGGAUAUUUAUAGACGGCCGCCACCAACGGACAGAUCCGACGAAUACGGUAACUCCCCUAAUAUUACGUCGCCUAACGGUCCUUAUCUCUCUCACAGACGGGACUCUACGGAUUCCACGCCGGUACAGUGCUGCAACGGCUCCCGCCUGAAAAGACACGCCCAACGGGCAAAAAGGCGAACCGCCACGGCCUUUUCCUUCCCUUGUAAGCUAAGGUACGCGCUCGAUGCGGCGAAAAUCUCGAGAGGUCGCAGGCUGACCCACCGAAUGGGUUCGACAGCCGAUCUCGAGUACCAAAGUCUGGGAUGCCCAGUGAGUGGUCAGAAAUCGAGGCCCUGUUGACGGUCCUUAAUGCUCACAAUUAACCAUCAAUUAAUCAUGGAAAAGGAUCCAAAUGCAACCAACACCUAGACUUAGGGUUUUAUCUAAUAGAAUUCCACGAGUUUUGGUGUUUGUCUAUUUCUGCAGGGGGUUAUUAGGAAAUAUGGAGGAAAGGCCCACACGUCGGGUUUACAUAGAGAUAUUAACGUGCCGCGCAAUUUUCUAUCACCUAGAAGAUUCCAGAAGCCACGGGACCGAAGCGGAAGCCGAGAGGCCUCAGGGACAGGGCGCCCGCCCUAGUCCUGAGGGCGCCCGCCCUCAGCCAGAGUCCAAUCAGGACUCUAUUUCGGGAUAUUGCUCCACCGACCUAAAGGAUCAACAAUAACCGUUCAAUCAAUGUCGGUUUGAUCCAACGGCCCAGAUUCACUUGAAGGGACUAUAAAACCAGACCCCCUGGCCCCUGGAGAUCAUACCUCUUCUACAGAAUCAAAGCUAGGGUUUCAAUUCUUCAUCCAAGUAGAGAGGAUCCCUCUAGUUCUUCUAGUUCUAGUUCAUCUAGUUCUAGUUCUAGUUAGUUCUAGUUGUAAUCUAGAAAAUAGGGAGAGAGAAGAGGAGAGCGGAGGAGGAACCGGAUCUGUCGGAUCUUCCUCAACAUUAUACUUUUGCAGCAUCUGGUUCGUUCUUCAUUGUUCUCCAGGUUCUUCAAUUCAUAAUUCCUGAGUUCUUUAAUUACUUUUAUUUACAUUCAAGUUAUUUAUUGGAUUCCCGCUUGCAUCAAGUGCUCUAGUCUUUAUAACGCUAGAGUAGUAAUUAAUAGAUUAGACGUGGUGUUUAGUCUUGCGAUUACCUGGAAUUGCACCCAAUCCUGCGGAUUGUUGUGGUAGCCUUAGGGUAGUGACAGCCCUAACGGUCGACGUAUUCCACCACGUUCGGAUCGGUGUUUGUAGGACCGUAGUCAUACCUUCCUAGCCCCCUUCUCAUCUCUUUCUAUGGUUAGUGCUCUGAUGUCCCGAUAUAGAUAAUCUUGAAGUAAUUCUUGAUUCUUAGAUCAACUAGAGAACUCUCAGGAAACUUCCUCUCUUCCCACCAAAAAUAUUCAUAUAGUUAUCCUUGGGCGAUCUUGGAUCUUAAUUAGUACACUCACGUUCUCUGUGGAAAAUCGAUACUCUGGAAUACUCCCGGGUGAAGGCUACAUCGGUAUCCGUGCGCUUGCGGAUUUUUCUGUUUGCGUUUAAAAUACCCAACAAGCUUUCUGGCGCCGUUGCCGGGGAACGGUAGCUGUGCUAGUUUCGAACCAAGUCGUCCGUGUAUCCUUUUUCUUUUCCUUUUUACCACACUCACCCUAUCAUUUUCACCAAACCACAUGGAUUUCACACUAAGCAUUAAUGAGCAUGGAAAUUAUUUCAUAGCCACUUCAUUUACUCCAUGCUCAUAUGCAACAUCUUCACAAUCCAUUGGUCUUUCCAACAUCACCACAUUCGAGAUCUCCAACCCCCUCAUCCUUUCUAUUUAUAAAAACAUUAAAAGGGCGGUUGUCGAUGCAUAUGUCUAUAAUAAAUUUUGCAGAUCUCGUUGAGUUGAUCUUGCUAUAGGUCAGCGUUGGAGGGGAAACCACUUCGUUGACAUAAAUUAAUGGUUUCCCCAAGGACAACCUUAGUGUCCUAAAACAAGCACUGAUCAGAUCGUAACAUGAGCUUUUAAUUAUUUGCAACAUUACCUUGUGUGUUGAGCAUAUAAGGAUAAUUGUAAAAACAUUCCUUCGGGUAUUCUUGUCACUAACCUUUCUAGGAUUGGAGCAAGAAGAUCGAAUGAAUGACAAGCACAAGGUAUGUACAACCAAUCAUCAUACAACAUUGAAUUAAAUUCAUCCAAACUUGAAUUUUGCAAAAUUCAAGCUUGGGGGAGUACUUUACAUAAAAACAUCCUUUGCCCUGUUGCUAUGUUGGUUGUCCCUACCCUUAAGACAUGCUCAAUUUUGUUAAAUACUAAUCACACUACUUCAUCUCCACUUGAGUAGAUCUCUAUAAAUGCUUUCAUGCUACCUUUAUUUGCUUUAUUAUAUGUCUAGGCUUGGAGUAGUUUCAUUUAUCUCUUAAUUAAGCAUGGUGCUUAGUUUAGGAAUGAUGAUCUUACUUCCAAAGGAUUUUAAAUUAAGCAAGAUGCUUAGGUUAAAAUUCCCUCCUAAAUCAAAUUAGACAUGGUGUCUAGGUUGAUCUUUGAGCCGAUAGUAUGCUAUAGUAGAUAUUGGAUAUUUUGUUGGACUAACCCCUGCAGGAAAACAUUCAAUAUCGACCUGGGAUGUCCUGAGACAAACUCACAUUGGAGACAAAGAGAGAGACACAUGAAGUUUAACAAUUUGCACGAGGAAGGCAUAGCUCACAAGAGAUGAUCCAUGGAGGGUGCCACAAACACGAUGCACAACCGCUAAGAGAGGAAAGCUUUCACAAGGUGAUACUGUACCAUCACUCUUCGAGUAAGGUAACAUCUUAAGGUACACUUGGAGCAAAAUAUGAAGGACUUUUACAACUCCCAGACUCCACCAAGUGAAGAACCUAGAUCUACGAGCACAAACACACUAGAGAUACUGGACACUCAGGUAAUCACUGCCCUGAGAUGCUUGAGGACACAACUACUGGAGUAACCCCAUUGUGGAAGUAAUUACUGACCUUCUGCCGGUCAAGAGAGACAAUCCAGGACGCCCCGUCAUCCCGAUCUCCAUCGGCAUGGUGGACUUCCUAGAAGCACUCUGUGACUUUGGCUCCAGCAUCAACAUUAUGCUCAGGCUUGCAGAUUAGACACUAAGUUCCCCAAAAGGGAAUAUUGAAGAACCUCUGCGUCCGAGUUGGUACCUUGUACGCCCCAGCAGACUUCGUGGUGAUAGAGACUGGUACUGAUGAGAGGGCACCUAUCAUCCUAGGGAGACCAUUCCUGAACACCUCGGGAGCUAUCAUCUACGCUAGUGCUGCCAAGAUCAGUUUCUACAUCAAGGGAAGGAAGGAGACGUUUUCCUUCGAGAACAAGAUUACACAAAUCUCAGAGCAAUCCAGACAGGAACCAAGGAACAGGACCAACAGGAGGAAUAGAAACAAGCAAAUGUGGACCGAGUCAGCUAAGAUGGUCACUACAGUUCAAGGAGGUCAAGAUCGUCGACUUAAGUCACCGUUCCUAACCAAAAAGGACGACCCAAGUAAGCCAAGCAUCCAGUGCUCCAUUGAUGGAUACAACUUCCAGAAGAUGCUUUGCGACACCGGGUCAGGCGUCAACAUAAUGGCCGCAGUCACCUAUCAACUCCUGUUUGGAACCAUGCUCCUAAAAUCGACAUACAUUCAGCUCCAGAUGGCAGAUCAGACAUUCCGAAAGGUUGAAGGUUAUUGACAUGAGAGAAGACGAAUUCGAUCUACCCGUCAUCCUUGGAAGACUGUUCCUCAGCACCGUUAAAGCAAUCAUCUACAUUGGAACCGGAGAAGUCCACAUGCAAUUCCCCUCUGAGAAGGUACGCCACUAUUUUACUGACCCUAACUAUAUAGUUGAAGACUCUAAGCAGGUCAGGACAAGAAGAAGACGACGCAACCGUAACCAGAGGAGGAAAAUCAUAAAGGACGGAUGGGUAGACUACGAAGGAGAAGUGGUAAUGUCUGAAGACAUACAACUUGAACAGAACUGUCCUGAGGAGACCGUAGCACCGAGUCAGGCGUGGAGAAAGAAGAUAGUUAUACAUGAAGAGCAGGCGCCACCGGAACCACCGAAUACGCCAUCCAGCAAAUCCCAGGACGAAUGAGAAAAUGGAGAGUCCCGUUCGGAGGACUUAAAAACACCGAACGCCUUGCCAAGAGGUAAACUUGGUAGUUAUCUUUUUCCUUUCAAUUAUUUAAAAUAGUUUGCUUAGUUAAUUAGGUUCAUAUCAUUUUGAAAAGAAAAUAAAAAUGUUAAAAAUAGUAAGCCCCAUGUGAGUAUGCUCAUGGCAUAAAACCCAUAAGUACAUUCACUGUGGUGGCAUAAAAAAAUAAAAUAAAUAUAUUCCUAUCCUAUAAAAAUGAAAAUAUAAAAAUAAAAUUAUGAUCCUACUAAUGAGUAACAUUUAUUGAGAAGGCUCAACAUGAUAAAGGCUAGGUAUUUAUGCUAACACUUAACUAGUUCCACAAAGCUUUGUUGUCUAUUUGAGCUCCACAGAAUUCAAGGAUCAAAGAAGACUAGCAGACGGAGGACAUCCUAAUCACUGUCAGGGUGCUGCCGACAUUCAAAUACACCUCCGCCACCUGCUAGCUUACAUCAGAAGAAACUUCGUCAAAAUCCAGCUUGGGGGAGAGCACCCCCAUUUAUCCAGCUAAGUAUUCUACUCACGUUUAUACUUUACUCAAAUAAUAAAAAGAUGCAUAAUCAUAAAAAACCAAAUAAAGAUUUUGUGCUUAUAUAUAUCUUUGCUUUUCUUGCUAAAUAAAUAAAUAAAUAAAAUUUGCUAUGAACCCUCAUGAUAAGCUCUGACAUGGAAAUGAUGAAUAGUUGCUCUACCAUGACUAGUUCUCAAAAUUGAAAUCUCUCUCAAGUUUAGGCAUAACUGUUAUUAAUUAAGUUUUGCUCUAAACCUGAACUUGUGGGGAGAGUACUUGAUCUAAAGUCUAAGUCGUUAACGGAUAUGAUAUGGGAAGGUUGAGCUGUUGUUUAUCUGUUCCUAGAGAUGCUAGAAUUCUGGAGAAUUUUAUCUUUGAAAAUCUUUAAAAUGUCGCAUGAUGAGUUCCUAUAUGAUGAGAGUUUAAAUUCCUACCACAGCCAUAUAUACAUGCUUGCUAGACUUUGAGCCACACAUUUACUUUUUACUGCUUAUGAGCAUUGAGUGUGGUCAAGCUGUGUAGACCCUUACGAGCCUGUCAUGUGGUUAAAUCAAGAUUCACAUGCACAUUCACUCAUACAUGCAGCUUCUACUCAGGAAGUACCAUCCACAUAUAUCCAUUUCCAUCUCCAGAACCACCCAAAAAUAUUCUACUACUAAACUGGGAGAGAAUAGCCAAAAACAUUUCUGUUUUUCCCCUGUGAAAUAAAUGCUCAAGUUAUCUUGGUUACUACCACUUGCUACAUUAUUUCAAGAGAUGAGUGCUCUAAAAAAACAGAAAAAAAGAGAAAAAAAAAGAUACGAGGAAAUAAAAAGGGGCAAGUGCCCGGAACCUCGAAAGAAAAGAAAAAGUGAGACGAGAGGUAAAAAUGGACAAGUGUCCGACAGUAGAAUUAGGGGUACAAGAUACCCACUUGGGAGAAAAGAAAAAAAAAUAUAGAGCAUCUCAUUCUCCUCAAAAAGUUUCAAAAGAGCAAGAAAGGUAUGUACCCCCUCAAAAGAGCAAAAGUAGAAUUAGACUUUCACCAUUACUUUCACCAUUAUCACCAUUCAUUCGCCACACAUGCACAUCUUGAUUUGACUUAUUGACUUGUUCUUCUGGAUCUAUGGUUUGACUAUGCAAUAAAUGUCUUGUAAGUAUGUAUUAGUUGUCUCCCACCUAUGAGCUCCAGAUAUCAAAACCUUAUUAGUGUAGGGUGAGAGAGAAGGCAAUGUCACUAUGCCUCAUACCAAAAAUACCACAUACUUUGAGAGAAGGCAUACACCUUUACUACCUUGGUAAGGAUCCAGAAAUACCACAAAAGAGAGACUAGAGAGAGUCAUACAAGGAAUCUCUGAGUUUUAUUUGAAAAUCUGCAAAAACCCCAGAGCUAUAGCUGAUCAAGAAUAAGAGACAUGGCACUUGACUAGACUGUUCUAUCUUUUAACUACUCAAGACAGAGGUGACGGUUGCAAGCCCCAUGGUGAAGGUAAAAUGAGUAAGUUUUAAGUCUUAACAGUUUACUCUAACCGGAGAUGAGAUCUUGUUUAAACGUAUGUGUAUCUUUAAGUUAUGAAACCACUGCAGAAAACUCUUGAGUUCAUCUUUGCUCAGGGACGAGCAAAGGUUAAGCUUGGGGGAGCUUGUUGACGGUCCUUAAUGCUCACAAUUAACCAUCAAUUAAUCAUGGAAAAGGAUCCAAAUGCAACCAACACCUAGACUUAGGGUUUUAUCUAACAGAAUUCCACGAGUUUUGGUGUUUGUCUAUUUCUGCAGGGGGUUAUCAGGAAAUAUGGAGGAAAGGCCCACACGUCGGGUUUACAUAGAGAUAUUAACGUGCCGCGCAAUUUUCUAUCAUCUAGAAUACUCCAGAAGCCACGGGACCGAAGCGGAAGCCGAGAGGCCUCAGGGACAGGGCGCCCGCCCUAGUCCUGAGGGCGCCCGCCCUCAGCCAGAGUCCAAUCAGGACUCUCUUUCGGGAUAUUGCUCCACCGACCUAAAGGAUCAACAAUAACCGUUCAAUCAAUGUCGGUUUGAUCCAACGGCCCAGAUUCACUUGAAGGGACUAUAAAACCAGACCCCCUGGCCCCUGGAGAUCAUACCUCUUCUACAGAAUCAAAGCUAGGGUUUCAAUUCUUCAUCCAAGUAGAGAGGAUCCCUCUAGUUCUUCUAGUUCUAGUUCAUCUAGUUCUAGUUCUAGUUAGUUCUAGUUGUAAUCUAGAAAAUAGGGAGAGAGAAGAGGAGAGCGGAGGAGGAACCGGAUCUGUCGGAUCUUCCUCAACAUUAUACUUUUGCAGCAUCUGGUUCGUUCUUCAUCGUUCUCCAGGUUCUUCAAUUCAUAAUUCCCGAGUUCUUUAAUUACUUUUAUUUACAUUCAAGUUAUUUAUUGGAUUCCCGCUUGCAUCAAGUGCUCUAGUCUUUAUAACGCUAGAGUAGUAAUUAAUAGAUUAGACGUGGUGUUUAGUCUUGCGAUUACCUGGAAUUGCACCCAAUCCUGCGGAUUGUUGUGAUAGCCUUAGGGUAGUGACAGCCCUAACGGUCGACGUAUUCCACCACGUUCGGAUCGGUGUUUAUAGGACCGUAGUCAGACCUUCCUAGCC